RNAcentral lists this ribosomal RNA (492 nucleotides) under uncultured bacterium. Its description in RNAcentral is "partial 16S ribosomal RNA". It matches the Rfam family "Bacterial small subunit ribosomal RNA", at positions 29 to 507 of the family's 1533-position model. The record is from RNAcentral.
AGUGAACGCUGGCGGUAGGCCUAACACAUGCAAGUCGAACGGCAGCACAGUAAGAGCUUGCUCUUACGGGUGGCGAGUGGCGGACGGGUGAGGAAUACAUCGGAAUCUACUUUUUCGUGGGGGAUAACGUAGGGAAACUUACGCUAAUACCGCAUACGACCUACGGGUGAAAGCAGGGGAUCUUCGGACCUUGCGCGAUUGAAUGAGCCGAUGUCGGAUUAGCUAGUUGGCGGGGUAAAGGCCCACCAAGGCGACGAUCCGUAGCUGGUCUGAGAGGAUGAUCAGCCACACUGGAACUGAGACACGGUCCAGACUCCUACGGGAGGCAGCAGUGGGGAAUUUUGGACAAUGGGCGCAAGCCUGAUCCAGCCAUACCGCGUGGGUGAAGAAGGCCUUCGGGUUGUAAAGCCCUUUUGUUGGGAAAGAAAAGCAGCAGGUUAAUACCCCGCUGUUCUGACGGUACCCAAAGAAUAAGCACCGGCUAACUUCGUG